CCUACGGGAGGCAGCAGUAGGGAAUUUUCCACAAUGGGCGAAAGCCUGAUGGAGCAAUACCGCGUGCAGGAUGAAGGCCUUCGGGUCGUAAACUGCUUUUAUGUGCGAAGAAUUUGACGGUAACACAUGAAUAAGGAUCGGCUAACUACGUGCCAGCAGCCGCGGUCAUACGUAGGAUCCAAGCGUUAUCCGGAAUUACUGGGCGUAAAGAGUUGCGUAGGUGGCAUUAUAAGUGGAGCGUGAAAGCGUGCGGCUCAACCGCAUUAUUGCGUUCCAAACUGUGAAGCUUGAGUAUGGGAGAGGUAGAUGGAAUUUCUAGUGUAGGAGUGAAAUCCGUAGAUAUUAGAAGGAACACCGAUGGCGUAGGCAGUCUACUGGCCCAUUACUGACACUAAGGCACGAAAGCGUGGGGAGCAAACGGGAUUAGAUACCCCGGUAGUCCACGCUGUAAACUAUGGAUGCUAGCUGUGACACACAUCGACCUGUGUCGUAGCGAAGUUAACGCGUUAAGCAUCCCGCCUGGGGAGUACGGUCGCAAGAAUUAAAACUUAAAUUGAAAUUGACGG
RNAcentral lists this ribosomal RNA (566 nucleotides) under uncultured bacterium. Its description in RNAcentral is "bacterial SSU rRNA". It matches the Rfam family "Bacterial small subunit ribosomal RNA", at positions 338 to 916 of the family's 1533-position model. The record is from RNAcentral.